Molecule: ribosomal RNA, 423 nt
Filed under: uncultured bacterium
Lineage: Bacteria
Description: bacterial SSU rRNA
Rfam family: Bacterial small subunit ribosomal RNA
Source: RNAcentral
GGACCCGCACAAGCAGUGGAGCAUGUGGUUUAAUUCGAAGAUACGCGCAGAACCUUACCAACACUUGACAUGUUCGUCGCGAGACCAAGAGAUUGGUUUCUUCAUUCAGUUGGACGAAACACAGGUGCUGCAUGGCUGUCGUCAGCUCGUGUCGUGAGAUGUUGGGUUAAGUCCCGCAACGAGCGCAACCCACGUCUUUAGUUGCCAGCAUUUAGUUGGGCACUCUAGAGAGACUGCCGGUGAUAAACCGGAGGAAGGUGUGGAUGACGUCAAGUCAUCAUGCCCCUUACAUCCUGGGCUACACACGUACUACAAUGCUACGGACAAAGGGCUGCAAGUUCGCGAGGACAAGCAAAUCCCAUAAACCGUGGCUCAGUUCAGAUCGUAGGCUGCAACUCGCCUACGUGAAGGCGGAAUCGCUAG